GGUGGAAAAAGAAGACAUUUCAAGUAAAAAAUAAAGCAGGUGUGCACCCAGCCACAAGAUAGGCCAGGCCCAGACAGAGAAACCAGGGUAUCAGCUAUGGCCCGCUCUUGUGCCCCGUAUCAAAGUUGACUGUUCCUGAUUCCAACAUCAAGCCAAAUGAGAAUUCAGCCUCUCUUCUACAUACCCCGAAAAGCAACACACUCAAAAUACCAACUUAAUUAAUGUAUAACGUAUACUGGACUGAAGAUUUCUUAAGGAAAGUAAAAGAGGAGGCUCUCUUCACUCACUCCACAUCAAAAAAGGUGUCAUUCUUUCGCGCUGCACACACCUUCCUCCACGUGGUGAAGAUACAUCGCUCCUGACAGCCUCAUGCCUGACUGGACACUGAAAAAGAGGUGAAGAGAUGAGGCGAUAGAACAAAAGAACAGAAAGAUAAUGAAGCUGAGACUAACAUAAUUAUGUAUGCAGCCACAAAUGGAGCACAAAGCAAUUACUGCUUGUGGGAAUUUGAGAGAUGCUCUUUGAAGAGGUGUGAGGGAAUCAGUAAUACUUGCAGUGACUUUUAAGGAGGUGGAGUGUGCUGAUGAAGAUGCCACAAAGAACUGAUGGGAAGUUAUUCCUCUCCCCAACUGCUAUUGUAUCCUUCCUGUAGUGCUGUCUCUGCUUUUUGCAUCU
This is a long non-coding RNA of Homo sapiens (human), 675 nucleotides long. Ensembl annotates it as ARNT2 divergent transcript. Its record names the gene ARNT2-DT. The record is from Ensembl. Lineage: Eukaryota; Metazoa; Chordata; Mammalia; Primates; Hominidae.